This 494-nucleotide small RNA is filed under the name Arabidopsis thaliana (thale cress). RNAcentral's name for it is "ATSL105610". Lineage: Eukaryota; Viridiplantae; Streptophyta; Magnoliopsida; Brassicales; Brassicaceae. The record is from RNAcentral.
GAGAGAGAGAGAGAGAGAGAGAGAGAGAAACACAAACCUGCUACACUGGCGAAGAAUCGGCGACGGCGAUUUGUGAAGAAUCGGCGACGGCGAGAUCACCGGCGAAGAAUCAGCAUCAUUGACGGCUAUGAAUCUCAAUUUUGAGUGUUUUGUGUCGAGGAGAGGGUGAAGAAGAGAUGUGAUUUUGGGUGUAAUUCCAUAUAUUAGAUUAGGGUAUUAUUUUUGUUAUAAUUUUGGCUGAAUCAGCUUCAGCAGAAUGAACAAAUCAAACUCAGUCAGAUUUUUUUUAUUUUUUGGAUGAAUUUAGAAAAAAGCAUUCAACUGAAUCAUUCGAAUGAUCUAUUAAAACAUGAAAAACAAACAACAAUUUUCAUCUUCAUUGAGAUGGUUCAUCCAAAUGGACAAACAAACAGGACCAUAGUACUCAACUUGAAACCAUUGAAGCUGGUUGGCAGGUUUUAGUCUUUCUUGCAAUAUUUGCAUGUUUAUAUAUA